GCCUAGUGGCGCACGGGUGAGUAACGCGUGGGAACCUGCCCUGUGGUACGGAAUAACUCCGGGAAACUGGAGCUAAUACCGUAUGCGUCCUGCGGGACAAAGAUUUAUCGCCAUGGGAUGGGCCCGCGUAGGAUUAGCUAGUUGGCGGGGUAACGGCCCACCAAGGCUACGAUCCUUAGCUGGUCUGAGAGGAUGAUCAGCCACACUGGGACUGAGACACGGCCCAGACUCCUACGGGAGGCAGCAGUGGGGAAUAUUGGACAAUGGGCGCAAGCCUGAUCCAGCAAUGCCGCGUGAGUGAUGAAGGCCUUCGGGUUGUAAAGCUCUUUCGCACGCGACGAUGAUGACGGUAGCGUGAGAAGAAGCCCCGGCUAACUUCGUGCCAGCAGCCGCGGUAAUACGAAGGGGGCUAGCGUUGUUCGGAAUUACUGGGCGUAAAGGGCGCGUAGGCGGUGCUUCAAGUCAGGCGUGAAAGCCCCGGGCUCAACCUGGGAACCGCGCUUGAGA
Molecule: ribosomal RNA, 507 nt
Filed under: uncultured Skermanella sp.
Lineage: Bacteria; Pseudomonadati; Pseudomonadota; Alphaproteobacteria; Rhodospirillales; Azospirillaceae
Description: bacterial SSU rRNA
Rfam family: Bacterial small subunit ribosomal RNA
Source: RNAcentral